This 497-nucleotide ribosomal RNA is filed under the name uncultured bacterium. Its description in RNAcentral is "partial 16S ribosomal RNA". It matches the Rfam family "Bacterial small subunit ribosomal RNA", at positions 28 to 507 of the family's 1533-position model. The record is from RNAcentral.
GACGAACGCUGGCGGCGUGCCUAAUACAUGCAAGUAGAACGCUGAAGAGAGGAGCUUACUCUUCUUGGAUGAGUUGCGAACGGGUGAGUAACGCGUAGGUAACCUGCCUUGUAGCGGGGGAUAACUAUUGGAAACGAUAGCUAAUACCGCAUAACAAUGGAUGACACAUGUCAUUUAUUUGAAAGGGGCAAUUGCUCCACUACAAGAUGGACCUGCGUUGUAUUAGCUAGUAGGUGAGGUAAUGGCUCACCUAGGCGACGAUACAUAGCCGACCUGAGAGGGUGAUCGGCCACACUGGGACUGAGACACGGCCCAGACUCCUACGGGAGGCAGCAGUAGGGAAUCUUCGGCAAUGGGGGCAACCCUGACCGAGCAACGCCGCGUGAGUGAAGAAGGUUUUCGGAUCGUAAAGCUCUGUUGUAAGUCAAGAACGGGUGUGAGAGUGGAAAGUUCACACUGUGACGGUAGCUAACCAGAAAGGGACGGCUAACUACGUG